AUACACGUCGAGACCUAGUGCAUACCAUGCAUGACGUAGGAAUCGAUAUCAUAGACGGUCAAAACAUUCUUACUCUAUAUUUUUAGUUCAUAUACUAAUUAACUAUGCAAAUUAAAUAUCCUUACGAUAAAUUAAGAUGUUUAGCUACUUCAAUUAAGGGGGCUAUGAAACACAAUUGAAAUCCGUGUGCAUGGGCUAUAGACGUCGUGAGGAGAAAGAACCCACCAUUACUUUUAUAUAUUUGUUACACUUUAGUGUGUUUGCUGUGGACAAACGUAUCUUCUAAUCGGUGAGUCUUCUCCACCUGAAGACGGAUGUUGCGGCUUCAAAAGCGUUGCUUGCAAUAUUAAUAGAUAAAGAUAUAGAGGAUAUACCUCACCC
RNAcentral lists this long non-coding RNA (381 nucleotides) under Setaria viridis. Its description in RNAcentral is "long non-coding RNA (SVIR_LNC008317)". The record is from RNAcentral. Lineage: Eukaryota; Viridiplantae; Streptophyta; Magnoliopsida; Poales; Poaceae.